This 301-nucleotide ribosomal RNA is filed under the name uncultured bacterium. RNAcentral's name for it is "partial 16S ribosomal RNA". It matches the Rfam family "Bacterial small subunit ribosomal RNA", at positions 509 to 807 of the family's 1533-position model. The record is from RNAcentral.
CAGUCGCCGCGGUAAUACGAAGGGUGCGAGCGUUAAUCGGAAUUACUGGGCGUAAAGCGUGCGUAGGCGGUGAGUUAAGUCUGCUGUGAAAUCCCCGGGCUCAACCUGGGAAUGGCAGUGGAUACUGGCUCGCUAGAGUGUGUCAGAGGAUGGUGGAAUUCCCGGUGUAGCGGUGAAAUGCGUAGAGAUCGGGAGGAACAUCAGUGGCGAAGGCGGCCAUCUGGGACAACACUGACGCUGAGGCACGAAAGCGUGGGGAGCAAACAGGAUUAGAGACCCCCGUAGUCCCUGUCUCUUAUAC